Molecule: long non-coding RNA, 10809 nt
Organism: Centruroides sculpturatus (bark scorpion)
Lineage: Eukaryota; Metazoa; Arthropoda; Arachnida; Scorpiones; Buthidae
Exons: 3
Source: RefSeq, a predicted model, not a curated record
AAAUGUGUUUUGAUAGUAGCAAAAUAUUUAUAAAUGUCCAUAUCCAUUAUGAUUUUAUAAUUUUUAAAUGCACAUUUUGAACAAAUUAUUUGUCCGUUUAAGGCAACGAAUUCGUUUUAGUUCGGAAAUUUUCCAAUAUCUGUACAUCGAAAGAAUAUACAGUAUAGAUUGCUUUGUGAAUAAUAGAUAAUGAAAGGAUUUUGUUUCGUAUCUUCCGUUAGUUUAAAUAAGAUGAGAGCUAUCAGUUUUACAAUCGGAACUACGCUGUUGAUCUUUGAUACAAAGAGUGACAGAUAAUGUUGUAAGCGUAUCGAUUUUUACUACUAUUUUUUACCUUUAAAUAUGACAUAUUACAUGUAGAAUUUACCGGACUUUGAACUCUUUAAUUUGAUUGUUUCGCGUUAUAAGGAAAAGUUUAUUUUUAAUCGUUGCAGUCUUCUAAUCGCUUCACUUUACUAGUUUGUAUUUUUGUUUAAGGUAUAUUUAUAGAUUGCAGCAUGUAAAGGCGAAUUAACAAAAUCGAUGAGAGAUAAAAUAGGCUUCACAUACCAUUCUGUACGCGCUUGGGGUUAUGUCCGAUUAAAAUCGAUGGUGUUUUAUAUUCUGUACACAAAAAAAAAAAAAUCGCAGGACAUCGGAAUUAAUUGGCUGGAGGCCAAAGUUGUCUUCCUGGAAGAAUUUUUAGUUCAAAAUGAUUGUUUUCUCUUUUAAGAAAUUAAUUUCGUUUAGUGUUUAGCGUUAUUAUUACUCCAUUGUAACUGUUAACAUGCAGCCAUCUAGUAAUUUUGCCAGCUUUUGUUUAAUCGAAUCAGAUGUAGCAUUAUGAUUUUGGAUAUUCAGAACGCUUUAAAGGAAUUUUAUCGCCCUUUUGUUGUUUAACUUCACGGUUAAUGGCCAAUGAACGAAACUACACGAUAGUUUAUAAAUUAAUGGAUCCUGAAAGAAAAAAGAAACAUUUGUUAUUUUUAUUUCCAAUUGAAAUGUUAAGUUUAUUGGUUACUUUUUACCUCUCCUUUUGGAAGCGGGCAAUUUGAAAUUGUGUAGUCGCACGGAUUUUUUUAAAAGAUAGAUUUGUCAAUUUUUGAACGAUUUAUUUGUCCGGUUGUUUGCCAUUGUAAGAACAUUAAAAAUUAACCGAGAUCACCAGUGUUUCACUUAGACGUAACGAGGUUCAAAUUGAGUGGUAGAUGACCUUCGUGCGGUCGAAUUAUUUCACGACGGUUAAAAAUCCCAAAAUAGAAGAGUAGAGAUUAACAUUCGUCAAUACUAGCCUGAAGUUGUGACCUCUGUCACGAAACUUUGUUCAAACAUGGCACCUAGAUUCUAGUACCUUGAUCACAUUGAUUUUUCUGUUUCUCCACAGAUCGAUACCAUUACUGCAUUGUAAUACGGAGGGACGAUAGGCAUUUCGUUCGUAUAGCAGAACAUGCACGGUACACAUUUGCUUCCCUAACACAUUAGUGAACACGGUUAAUAUUCCUCUUUCAUCUCUUAAUCUUCACUCCGUUCACUGACGGAUUUAAGAACGUACUUUAAUGAACGAUCACUGGAGUAUGAUAAAAAUCGAUGAUUUUCACCAAGUAAUCGUAUUAUUAAAACGUUCCUUGUAUCGUUCGCUCUUAUAUACAGGAUGAAUUCGAAUUUCUAACUCUAUUUCAAUUAAGAUAAUGUAGCAACCGAUUCUUUUCUUAGUGUCAAUAUGGAGUAACUCGAUUUAGCGCCAAACUCUAUCCAAAAUAAAUCUCCAGAGGAAUCAAAUUUACCUUUUAUAUUAAGUCGAUUUGUUCCAGAUGGUGACCCGUUUACUAUCUCGAGUUCAAAGUGAUUCUCUGAAGGAAUUGCAAUAGAGAGAUACUCAUUUUACGUCACAGAUUGCUUUGCCUAGUUUACGAUACCAUAAAAAAUGCGUCGAGUUAUUAUAUAUCAGACCGAGCCGUUACGGUAGGGCCAACUUUAAUUCAUCCAAAUGACGAACAUCUUGAGAGUAUUAAUUAAUAAAGAGAGGCAAAUCAAUUUAUAAAGCGAAGUCUUCGUUAUAAAUUGCGGAACGACUGUAGGUUGGACAGCAUAUUACGCAAUCAAGCACCAGCAUCGAAACUGUAAGUGGUAAAAAUGUAAUUUACUAAAUACGAAUGGAGGCAGCGCAGUUAAUUCGUUUAUUCUGUAAACCGCACCAAAGCUCUAUGGCGAUUUCGGUGGCCUUAGUCAUUGCCGAUAUCGAAUUUAGCGAAUUUCUACUUUCGUUAAUUAAAUUUAUACGAGAUGCUACGUUUCUUAUUUUGCUUCGGAUUAUUACCGAUCGCAUUGUUCGGGAAGAAAAAGUUCGGUCCUUAUAUCGCGGUUAAUCGUUAUCAUUCGGUAAUUAUUAAUUAAUCCGUUUGAAUGUGACCAUUGUUGCUGGUUGUUUCUGCUCAUUUUCGUAUAUUGGUUAUUUAAUAAUUCGAAUCUGUUGUGCCAUCUGUUGGUUGUUUAGCAAACUAGGUUGAUCCCUAGAAAAAUUGGCGAAGGUCACCUUCACCAAAUCUCUUCUCAGCUAUUGACCUCUUAAAAUUUGUUUAAUGAGAACGUCGACAAAAUGAAAAUUUAUGAAUUUUUGUUUUUUGUGGGGGACAAUCGGUCAAGCAUUUUAACUUUUAUAUAUCUAUCUUGAUAGGGAUUUGUUAGCUUCCUUCAGACGGAAGGUAAUUUUGAUGGUGUGGUUCGCUUAAUAUAAGAUCAUAUUAAGCGCACACUUAAAAAGUUGGAGUUAAUUUUAUAGAAGCUGUCUGUACCUUGCUUAAUGUGAAGUUAACUUCAUAGAAAUGCCUAGCUGAAUACUCAGUCGGGCUUAUUUGUAGACGCUCCGCAUUGUUUAAUGCAAAAUCAACUUUUGUUGAUGUGUUUUGUUUUAAUUAAUGUAACGUUGACUUUGUAAGAUUAUGCUUUAUUUAAUGAAGUUAGAUUUUAUAAAGCUGUGCUUGGCUUACGAAACCGGGCCGCGUAACGAGUAACUUAUUUAAUGUGAAGUAACUCAUUAUAACUUAUAGAUGUUUGUUGAAAUGCUUGAAGUAAAUUUUAAAAUGACGCGAAUUAAAUAAUAUUUGUAAAGGCGAAAAUCGUUUCGCGUUAACGUCGGAAUAAUUUUUUGAAAGAGAGAGCGGUUCCGUAAAUUUGUUUACGGGGCUGUUUUGAGCUGUUUAAUAUCCUCUGUGAAUAAUACAAAUUUGUUUAACUAAGCAUGUUUUAAUCGUUGGAAGAGCACAUUGUUUUGCAUAUAGAUGAAUUCGUGUUGUUUCAAUUUCUGUUAAUUUCUGGAAUUAUUCGAUUCGAUUAUUUUUAGAAAGUAGCGAAUUAAAACGCCCAGCAAGUUGCAGCUUCCGAAAUUUUACCGUAAGGAUCAAUUUUUAUCUCAUUUUUGCUGAUGGAAACUUACCUUUGGCAAUUCGACUCUUUUCUCUAUUAAUAAAAAAAAAUUCAUUAUAACAAAACGGAAUUACAUUAUACGGAUAUCCUUAUUGAUAUUUUUUAAAACCCAAAUCAAAUAGCGUAAGUGAAUUAUCGGCGCAGGUAUUUAGAAUCUCAUUGUACUGUACUGUACCAUACAGCGUUGAUCCAGCGUGUAACGGGAUUGAAUAGCUGUAAAAACAAACCUAUCCUGUUUCUGCAGGAGUGCUUUCAGGCAAACCGGAACUUUAUUACCGAAUAAUCCUAUAAUUGUUAGUUUGGAAACAUUUGUUAAUAGCUUUUUUGUAUUUUUAAAUGGUUGAUAACAAUCUUAAAAUCAUAAUUGAGAUCAAGGUAAUAGUCGUUUUGUACAGUAGCAUAGCUAUUGUUUAAGAGGGAGGAUAGGAGGAUACUUUUAUGCAGGUUUUUUUAAUAUAAAUUUGAUACUGUUAUAAGAUGAUAUCGCUUGUUUUUUUACAGGCGUUUAACUAUGAAAAUGACUGGUUCGUUUAAAUGUUUCAUUAAUUUCUAGCUCCAUUUUCCCGAUAAAUUUGCUUAAAAGGUGAUAAUUAAGAGAUUAAAAGUAACCUAUUCGAGUAUUAAAUUGGGUUAUAAGAUUCGCAUAAAACAUAAGUAUACCUUAUCAUCGCUAUAACUUCCCUUAGAAAACUACUUCAUCAUUGACUUGUUUAUUCGAAAAAUAUAUUCAUAAAGCGUUAAUUGGUUUGUUUUUUCUGAAUGUGACCGCAAACGCAUUGUCAAUAAUUUUUUCGCGAGAUCAGUGCUAAACAGGUCGGAAAUGAUAAUCUGGUAAUGUUCAGUUGCUGGUUCUCCCCUUUUUUUUUACAUAUUCCUUGCUUUCAUUUUACGUAGAAACACUUAAAAGCAUUUAAUGUUUUGUAAGAAAUUGAUCGAGAAUCCGUGAAACGUAGCGAAUUUUAUAGUUUGUCGCUGUGUCCAUUAGAAAUUUGAAUUAAUCCAAGAGAAUAUUUUUACAAGUUUAAAAAUCUAUCAAAUGGAUAAUUGAGCAUGCUCUUUUAUGUUUUUAUUGUAUAAAAAUUAGUUUCUCCGUUUAUUUAUUUACUUUAUUUAUUUUCUUGUGUAUUUACGAGCAUUGUUGAACUUUUUAAGUUGAAAUCUGAGAUGAGAAAUAGCAUUAGACUCGAAUCGGCAAAUCGAAGCAAUAAUUAAUUAGCAUUACAAAAUUAAUUGCUCUUCUACAGUAUUUACAGCGUGGAAAUUAUAAAAGAUACUUUUGUCUGUAAACAUCUCGCAAUCGCUUGAAAGGGAUCUAUCACUAUAAAUUUUUUAGACCUACAUACUUCGUUCAUGUGCAGACCAUUCAAAAUUAAUUACAUAAUGUUUAUGUAGGUUAAAACUGUGUCACAAACAUUUAUCUUUACAUAUUAUAAAAGUGGUAUCUUCCAUUUAAAUAUCUCCACAUCAUGUAGUAAAUGAUAUCUUCACAUGAGAGCAUCUGUUAGUCAUAAAAAUAAAUUGCGGUAGUUUUUACAUCUGCCCCUUCCUUCUAUGGAAUGAUGUUAAAGCCGUAUCAAUUGUACUUAGUCUACUGUUCAUCUAGUUGAAAAUGUCUAUAACUUGUUUUUUCGUAAUUAAUAUAUACUGUUUAAUUUUUUUAAAAAACCUCAAAUCUAUGCUGCACUUCUAAUUCGGAUUUCUGCCUUUUUUUCUUGAAUAUUGUACAAGGAUGUGGAUGUAUUUUUUAUUCAAUAUAAAAUCAUAUACAUAUCCUUUUUACGGUGUUUAAUGCAUUAAAAAACAAGGGCAAAACUCGCUUCGUUUCAUACAGCGAAUUCUUAAGAAUAAUUUUUACCAUUUUCCUUCUUAAGAAAAUGGUUGGAUACUUCCACACGUUAGUAUUAGAAAAUAACUUAAAUAUAGAAGAUUAUCGCCACUUUCUAUUGUUAAUGUUGUAAAAAGGAUAUGGAUACGUUUUACGUAUUGUUAAUGCUAUAUAAAAAAAGGAUAUAGAUCGCCUACUUUUUGCAAUGUUGAAUAAACGUAGCCAUAUCCUUAAAGAAUGAUCUCACUGAUAGGAAAUAGCGAUAGUCUAAAUUAUUACUUUGUCAGCGAUACCUUAAUAUCUUUUCAUAUUAUUUAAAAAUCAUUUAUUCAUUUAUACAGUAUAAAGCUGUGCUAAUAUUUUCUAGAACUUUUUAAAAUUAGGAUGAAAAUUGCGUGAAUUUCGAAAUGUACUUUUCACCAGCGUCAGUAAAUGAGUGAUAAAAUUACGAAGUUAAAAAAAAUAGAAAAGAUACUUAUAUAUGAAAAAUAGUGUUUUCACGAGAGAAUUGAAUUCGAAAUUUCCAGUGAAAAGGCAUUUUAUUUUGAGAUAUUUUUUACAUCUUCAACAUUGACCCACUGACAUCAUGUAGAAGUUUCGAGUUUGUCUGUUCUUCUUGUAUCUGUCCGAAUCCUUUAAAAUGCCCAUUAUAAAUGGAAAGGAAAACGAAAAAAAAGAUGAAGACUUAAGAUGGAAAAGUGCUUUGAUGUCAGAAAUCCGUUAUUUUUAUUCGAUGACAUUUAUUAUUUUUCAGAAUAAUCCAUAAACGGAAACGGAAGUAUCUACUAAAAAUUUAUAUCGGAAAGUUCAUAUCUAAAUAUAUGUUUAAAACUCGAUACGCAGUUUCUAAAACUCCAAGCGAGAGAAUGUUUAGAUGUCGUUUACGCGAAAAAUAUUGUAAUAUCCCAAACAUUAGUUAGUAGAUAAAAGCUAAAUCGUGGAAGGUUCUUGUAAUGCCGUCGAUAGUAAUUCUAAUGGAAAAUUGAAUAAUUGAUUCAACAUAGACAAAUAAUUUAUUCAUAACAUGUAAAUUUUAAUUCAUAGUAAUGCUUUAUUCUUGUGUAUCCAUAUUUUGAUGUACACUAAUAGAGAUGAAGUAAAAAAUACAGCGUGAUUAUUGAAUAUAUUAUUGUAUUUUUUGUAGUUUCAUACAUAAUUAAUGCAUAAUGGUCUGUAGUUCAAAUUUCGAAUUGAAAUAAUUUAACAUUUCAGAAUUUUAUUGAGUUAGUCAAUAUCGUUUUUUGUUUGAUUUAAUUUGUAAAAUAUUAUAUAUUUAAGUAAACUUCUUAUGUUUAAUUAACAUUUUAUUUUUUAAUGUCUAUGAAAAUUGCCAUAAAUAUGAACCGAAUUUUUUCAUUAUGGGAAAACUGUUCUCUGAAAUGUAAUAAUUCGAAUAGUUGCAAAAGUUUGUACGUACAGUUCAGAAAUUUAAAUAUUCGAGAUAACUAAUGGAUGGAAAAUAUUCUGCAGAUGAAAAGUUGUAGGACUAGAAUGGAAAGAAUAUAGAUCGUUGAAAGGAAAGAAUUUCCAGAACACAAAGUUAUUGAAUGUCCAUUUAUUCGCAAAGGAAAACGUGGAGGAAAUUUGAAAAGUGUGUAAUACUCGUAGCUAAAAAUAACAAUAAUAUAUAUAUUUCUUUUGUAUAAGAACCGAUUGGACCACGUACUUCCCGAAAAUGUUCGAAUGGCCAGAAGACGUUUUAAUGCCGAUUUAAUAAAUGAGACGUUGGAGAUCUGCCAUUCGAAAUCUAUAAGGCAGAAAACAGUUUAGGAUAAAGAGGAGGUGGAAGAAAUAUUUUCAGGCAUUAGUAAUUUUUCUCUUUAGCAAGAUGAACAUUUGUACAUUGAAAAAAUGAACGUUCUACUUCGUAAAUAGAAUCAUAAAUCCGAACCAGUAUGCCAAGGUGCCGACGACGUCUUUAUAAAAUAUCUACCGUAAAGAGAAAAAAAAAGAUUUAGGCAAGAACUGUUGUCGCAUCCAUAUGUCAAAAUAUUAAGAUUGUAUCGGCCUAGAUAUUUCCUAGAUCGGGAUUAAAGAUAAGCUCUAUCCGACACGAAAUUCGCUGAAAAGAACCGGACAGAACUUAGAUCGAGAAUUCGAAAAGAAUGCUGUAUAUUGUUGGGAAUAGUCUCGAAUAAACUAGAUAUACAUUGAUAAAUUAUAUCAUUUAUUUCACAAGAGUCGAAACAUGGAAAACAAGUUGUUUUCAUCUUAUUUGUGAUAAGGAAUGGAGCAAAAAAUUUAUAUAACGUGCGCUAGUUAUUAACCCUUCAAAUAAAUAGCCAAAUAGGAUUAAGUAUCACGGUUUACUUUGGUAAAUUCUAGAAAUUUAGGUUGAAUAUGAAACACGUGAUUUGCGUACUAUUAAAUAAUACUAUUUUAAUUACUGAAUUUAUUAUAGUUUGCUACUUUCGUAAGUUUGCAGGAAUUGAAUUGGUUUGUUUUCGAACUUUCAUGAAGUCUUAUUUUUAAGCGCGAAUUAAUCAAGUAAGUAUUUUAAAUUGUCAUAAUAAUCAUAGACAUUUUAGAGAGGACUGUAUAUGCGUACAGUAAUAUCUGUAUACAAGUCAAUUUUUUCUCAGUUUCGUAUAACUUAGCUAGACAAAAUAAAUACUUUUCAAAGUUGAAUGGGGAAAAACGAAGCGUAUAUGUAGAACUUAAAUAUAUGUUUAAAUCUCUACGCAAGAAAUUCUUAGAAAUGCAUUUUAAAUACGUUUUGGAACAUCUCGAUGUUUCCUUCUUAUCAGUAAUUACUGAAUAAUUCGAAAUUAAAAAAAAAACUGAAUUAAGAAAAAUCAUUGACUGAAAGUUGCACCAUUAACUAAUUAAUUUAAAAAUGUUCCCUUUCUUGUUGUUUCGGAGUAUCUAAAAUUGGCUAGACAGUUAUCAAAAUGUCUGUUAUCUCAAUUAAAAAAAAGUGGACCGGACUGGGAAAAUCGUUUUCAAUCAGGCAGAAAUGAAUGUGUUUGUAAAUCUUUAAUAUGUCCGAAAUAGCUUUCGAAGCAAGGUUUCAGCUUUAUUUAUGUUCCCUUCGGCGAUCAUUUCUCAAGCUUUUCCGUUGUUGAGACUUAGGAGCAAUAAAGCCAUAUCGAGAAUAGUUUACGGAUGAUCGAAAACCGAACUAUUCCAGAUUGGCUAUCGUGGGAUAUAAAUUACGGUUAAAUUUGAUGUAAUUACGAGGCCGUUUUAACAGUAGAAAAGUCAGAUUUGUCUUGUCGAAUUCUAAAAUUACUAGAACCCUAUUGAAGGAGCCGGCUUUUAGACGAACCCCCCUCAUAGAAUUUUCUUUUUAGCUGCAGGCUGCUUUUGUAAUAGGAUUGUCUGGUUACAAAAAUAGUUUGGCGGUGCAAUACCUGACAUACGACUCCGAAACUACCUUACCGUUUUUAGUUUUUAAGGAAAAUACCCUUCUCUGUUUCGUUACUAGAAGAAGAAUCCACGAAUAAGACAAUACAUACAAAGGGAAAAAAUUAUUAAAAAAAUGCUAUUUAUGUGUAUAGAGAGAAUGUAAAGUCGGAAGUAUCUGUGUUUCCUGGAAGUGUUAAUAAGAUUGCGAAUGAAAAGACUUUUCUGUAAAGGAAAGGAUAAAUCAGGCACAUAAUGUAUCAUUGCCGCAAUUAUUGCUUGUAGACGUACACUGUAAAGGCACACUUCAUUAAACAGCUUUUCCGGUUGUUAAAACGCAUCGGGAAAAAAGUAAUAUGUUUUUUACCGAUACAAACAGGUUUUUUUCACGCCUGUAAGGAGAAGAAAUGCUCAAACGAAGAAAAUAAAAGAAAAAAGUUUAAAAUAACUAUAAAAUCAGCACGUUCUACACUCUUAACCAGUAGUGAAAGAAGUUUAAAUUCUGUAGAGAAUUUGAACAGUAAUACUUGUAAAUAUUAGCUUUAUAUCACUUUAGACUUAAACAACCAAAAAGAAAAAUUUAGAAUCAUAACUUGACUGAACAACAUAUAGCCUGCGGUCCGUUAUGAUUUUGAUAUCAUUUCCUAUUUUUCCCUUUGGUUAUUUAAGGUGAUAUAAAGCUAAUAUUUACAUGAAUUAAGUGGUAAAUGUACACAAGUCCAUCGAUUCGCAAGAUUUGGAUGUUCCUCCGUUUCCUGUGGCGGAUGUUUCUUAGUUCGAAAUUUUAUAAAUGCAUUGCAAUUCAGAUUUGAAAGACACUUUCUUUUUUAUCGCUCGAUUGAUUUUCUUUCCCCCUUUUUUGUUAAGAUUUCUUUCUCAUAGAGCUCCAGAGAAAUUUCUAACGUUAGCAUAAAAUUUAAUGGUUAAUAUUUUUGAAUAUGAAGAGACAUGUUAAAUAUUUAAACGUUUAUGCAUUCAAUUUUGUAUUUCGGAGGACGGUGUUGCUAACAAAUGGCGGUGUUGUCAUGGUAACAAAUUCCUACUGAGGCUGUUUUCUCGAUUAUUAGCAAUGUGGCUUUUCUGUCAUUUAUAGCGUGAUUCUUCUCCCUCUUUCAAUCUCUUCCGCUAAAGGUCGCGUUUUUUCCCUCUCCGCCGUUCGUUCGUUUUAUCUGCAACUGUGUCAAGGCUAUCAAUGUCAAGGUUAUUCAACUUUAAAACGAUCGCUCUCGGUUUUCUUAUUUUUCUGGAAAAUCUGGGUCGAUCCGUUGGUUUUUCCCCCCCUCCUCCUCCUCCUCCUUUCUUUCCUCCACUAGAGGAUUUCUAGAGAUUAAGCUGGAUGCUAGCAUUCUCGGAGGUUAUUGCACUCCAGUUUCUCUCUGUUUCGUGUAAUGGGAAGCCCUAUUAAUUUGCAUGAAACAAAAAAAAAGAGAGAGAGAAGAGGCAUUUUUAUUUUCUUUUUUGGAGUCGGUUUUGUAGUACCACGAAUAAGGCGAGAAGGUUAAUAAACUUUCUAUUUACAUCAAUGGAAGCUCUGUUCUCGGUUUGCAUGUGCUCUUUAAUAUUUAGUUACCGGAUAAAAUAAAGGAAAAAUUAAAUUGGCGACUACAGCUUUGCGGUGUUUCUUUAUUUCUUUUAUGGAUUAAGCGUUUGUUCGAGAUCGAAUACGGACUGCUAUAGUUUUACGUUUGUCUCUGGGAAGAAAAUUAGAUGCGAAUGUGAGAGAUGUGUCGGUUAGGUCUGACAGCUCUCAUUGGUUGCUCCGAAAUGCUCCUCCUACUGCGUAACUGAUAUGCUGUCAACAUGUUCAUGGUAGGCUAACUAUUAGCUAUUACUGAAAUGCCUUGUGGAUGGAUUGGGUUUGAGCUGGUUAACAAAUUGUUUAGUCUAAUUUUAUUUUAUUUGUUUUUUGCUGUACUCUUUGAACAAUUGCAUCCCGGAGGCAUUCUUGUUUUAUUUUUUAGUUGUUUUUUUUAACUGACAGUUUGUUUUACAGUUAAUUUUUUUUACCCUCCUUUAUAGUAUCGAGACUAGAUUCGGCACAGAAUUAUGUAAAUACUGACUCUUUCAGAUUGAAAGCUUUGCUGAAGGUAGCUUCAACGUUGUUAAUUUUCCAUUUUUUUUUUGUUUCGUGUUUUUAGGCUUUGGUAUAGGUGGUAUUGAUUUCUCUCUCUCUCUCUUUUUCUCGCUCCCCCUCCCAACUGGUGAGGCCAUCGCCGUUAUGUGGGAAAAUUUUAAUG